RNAcentral lists this ribosomal RNA (731 nucleotides) under uncultured endophytic bacterium. Its description in RNAcentral is "bacterial SSU rRNA". It matches the Rfam family "Bacterial small subunit ribosomal RNA", at positions 771 to 1507 of the family's 1533-position model. The record is from RNAcentral.
AACAGGAUUAGAUACCCUGGUAGUCCACGCCCUAAACGAUGUCUACUAGUUGUCGGGUCUUAAUUGACUUGGUAACGCAGCUAACGCGUGAAGUAGACCGCCUGGGGAGUACGGUCGCAAGAUUAAAACUCAAAGGAAUUGACGGGGACCCGCACAAGCGGUGGAUGAUGUGGAUUAAUUCGAUGCAACGCGAAAAACCUUACCUACCCUUGACAUGUACAGAAUCCCGAAGAGAUUUGGGAGUGUUCGAAAGAAAACUGUAACACAGGUGCUGCAUGGCUGUCGUCAGCUCGUGUCGUGAGAUGUUGGGUUAAGUCCCGCAACGAGCGCAACCCUUGUCAUUAGUUGCUACGAAAGGGCACUCUAAUGAGACUGCCGGUGACAAACCGGAGGAAGGUGGGGAUGACGUCAAGUCCUCAUGGCCCUUAUGGGUAGGGCUUCACACGUCAUACAAUGGUACAUACAGAGGGCCGCCAACCCGCGAGGGGGAGCUAAUCCCAGAAAGUGUAUCGUAGUCCGGAUUGUAGUCUGCAACUCGACUACAUGAAGUUGGAAUCGCUAGUAAUCGCGGAUCAGCAUGUCGCGGUGAAUACGUUCCCGGGUCUUGUACACACCGCCCGUCACACCAUGGGAGCGGGUUUUACCAGAAGUAGGUAGCCUAACCGUAAGGAGGGCGCUUACCACGGUAGGAUUCGUGACUGGGGUGAAGUCGUAACAAGGUAACCGUAAAU